AGGGAAGUAAAUGAAUUGAAGUCAGCAAGGCCACGUGAGCAGGAAGCAUACUAAACACAUUUUCCACAUCCUGAAAUCCAAAGAUUAAAAGUUCAAACCACAUGAAAUCCCUCCACUAAGCUCAGACUUCCUCCGUCGUGCCGGAGGUCACCUCCGGGGAUGGUAGAGCCUUAAUGACCAAAUAAAUUAUAUCACCUUCUUCAGUUUAAUGUCCUGAGUCCGAAUAUCACCUUGGAACGAGCUACUUCCUCCUCACAAGUCUGAAUCAAAAUGGAUAGUGGAAGAACCCUAACAUUCAUACCUAAAGUUAAACUCUCACAUCUAGGAAUCAAAUCCCUAGAGGUUAUGGCUUUGAUUCCCCUAGCCUCCCAUGUUCCAGUAACUCACACACAAUGAAACGAUGAAGAUGAAGAAGUAACUCACUAGAGCAGCGCCAGAAUCAGGUUUAUUGUUACAGGGUUGCAUGCUGAUUGAUGUUGGACAGUACAUGGCCAUGUGAGGUAGACCGCAACGUGGUUUGAAUUUGGACAAGUUAUUGAUGUUGUCUUGCAGGAUGGCAUUCAUGGCUGUGUGAGGUUUGUCAUGUAUUUGGUGAUAAACAAAUGCCAAGAUGAUCAUAAAGAACAAGAACACUAUGGUUUUAGGUAUGGUAGAAUGGUGAGUUUACCAAAAAGUCAACUUAUGCAAAAAUUAUGUACUUUUGUAAUUUUCUUUCAAUGAAAUAUAUAUGAAUAAUGUAAUCAAUGAAUGGAAUGUAUUUUCUCUACUUAAUAA
This is a long non-coding RNA of Lathyrus oleraceus (garden pea), 774 nucleotides long. RefSeq lists it as uncharacterized. The transcript is spliced from 3 exons. NCBI's taxonomy places the organism in Eukaryota, Viridiplantae, Streptophyta, Magnoliopsida, Fabales, Fabaceae. The record is from RefSeq and is a predicted model, not a curated record.